CCUACGGGCGGGCUGCAGUGGGGAAUAUUGGACAAUGGGCGAAAGCCUGAUCCAGCCAUGCCGCGUGUGUGAAGAAGGCCUUCGGGUUGUAAAGCACUUUCAGUGGGGAAGAAAGCCUUGGGGCUAAUACCCUCGAGGAAGGACAUCACCCACAGAAGAAGCACCGGCUAACUCCGUGCCAGCAGCCGCGGUAAUACGGAGGGUGCGAGCGUUAAUCGGAAUUACUGGGCGUAAAGCGCGCGUAGGCGGUCUGAUAAGCCGGUUGUGAAAGCCCCGGGCUCAACCUGGGAACGGCAUCCGGAACUGUCAGGCUAGAGUGCAGGAGAGGAAGGUAGAAUUCCCGGUGUAGCGGUGAAAUGCGUAGAGAUCGGGAGGAAUACCAGCGGCGAAGGCGGCCUUCUGGACUGACACUGACGCUGAGGUGCGAAAGCGUGGGUAGCAAACAGGAUUAGAUACCCUAGUAGUC
This 466-nucleotide ribosomal RNA is filed under the name Vreelandella stevensii. RNAcentral describes it as "partial 16S ribosomal RNA". It matches the Rfam family "Bacterial small subunit ribosomal RNA", at positions 338 to 795 of the family's 1533-position model. The record is from RNAcentral. Lineage: Bacteria; Pseudomonadati; Pseudomonadota; Gammaproteobacteria; Oceanospirillales; Halomonadaceae.